Molecule: ribosomal RNA, 601 nt
Filed under: Pseudoalteromonas gelatinilytica
Lineage: Bacteria; Pseudomonadati; Pseudomonadota; Gammaproteobacteria; Alteromonadales; Pseudoalteromonadaceae
Description: bacterial SSU rRNA
Rfam family: Bacterial small subunit ribosomal RNA
Source: RNAcentral
GCUACUCUGCUGACGAGCGGCGGACGGGUGAGUAAUGCUUGGGAAUAUGCCUUAUGGUGGGGGACAACAGUUGGAAACGACUGCUAAUACCGCAUGAUGUCUACGGACCAAAGUGGGGGACCUUCGGGCCUCACGCCAUAAGAUUAGCCCAAGUGGGAUUAGCUAGUUGGUGAGGUAAUGGCUCACCAAGGCGACGAUCCCUAGCUGGUUUGAGAGGAUGAUCAGCCACACUGGGACUGAGACACGGCCCAGACUCCUACGGGAGGCAGCAGUGGGGAAUAUUGCACAAUGGGCGCAAGCCUGAUGCAGCCAUGCCGCGUGUGUGAAGAAGGCCUUCGGGUUGUAAAGCACUUUCAGUAAGGAGGAAAGGUUAAGUGUUAAUAGCACUUAGCUGUGACGUUACUUACAGAAGAAGCACCGGCUAACUCCGUGCCAGCAGCCGCGGUAAUACGGAGGGUGCGAGCGUUAAUCGGAAUUACUGGGCGUAAAGCGUACGCAGGCGGUUUGUUAAGCGAGAUGUGAAAGCCCCGGGCUCAACCUGGGAACUGCAUUUCGAACUGGCAAACUAGAGUGUGAUAGAGGGUGGUAGAAUUUCAGGUGU